AAAAAUUAUGUCGUUAGUAACUUCUGCAUGCAACGAACUAUUAUCAGCAAGUUUGAUUUUGUUCUUCUUCGACGAGUCAAAAUUUGCUAACCACACUUUUUGACCAGUCAUGUGAUUCGAGGAACUAGAUCUUGGAUUCGACAUGGUUAUCUACAACUGCAACCAUAAUCAAUAUACCUUCAAAAUCAUAUGAAUCUUGGUCUGUAAGGUUCA
This 213-nucleotide long non-coding RNA is filed under the name Lathyrus oleraceus (garden pea). RNAcentral's name for it is "Pisum sativum (pea) long non-coding RNA (PSAT_LNC027684)". Lineage: Eukaryota; Viridiplantae; Streptophyta; Magnoliopsida; Fabales; Fabaceae. The record is from RNAcentral.